GAUGAACGCUGGCGGCGUGCCUAAUACAUGCAAGUCGAGCGAACGGACGAGAAGCUUGCUUCUCUGAUGUUAGCGGCGGACGGGUGAGUAACACGUGGAUAACCUACCUAUAAGACUGGGAUAACUUCGGGAAACCGGAGCUAAUACCGGAUAAUAUUUUGAACCGCAUGGUUCAAAAGUGAAAGACGGUCUUGCUGUCACUUAUAGAUGGAUCCGCGCUGCAUUAGCUAGUUGGUAAGGUAACGGCUUACCAAGGCAACGAUGCAUAGCCGACCUGAGAGGGUGAUCGGCCACACUGGAACUGAGACACGGUCCAGACUCCUACGGGAGGCAGCAGUAGGGAAUCUUCCGCAAUGGGCGAAAGCCUGACGGAGCAACGCCGCGUGAGUGAUGAAGGUCUUCGGAUCGUAAAACUCUGUUAUUAGGGAAGAACAUAUGUGUAAGUAACUGUGCACAUCUUGACGGUACCUAAUCAGAAAGCCACGGCUAACUACGUGCCAGCAGCCGCGGUAAUACGUAGGUGGCAAGCGUUAUCCGGAAUUAUUGGGCGUAAAGCGCGCGUAGGCGGUUUUUUAAGUCUGAUGUGAAAGCCCACGGCUCAACCGUGGAGGGUCAUUGGAAACUGGAAAACUUGAGUGCAGAAGAGGAAAGUGGAAUUCCAUGUGUAGCGGUGAAAUGCGCAGAGAUAUGGAGGAACACCAGUGGCGAAGGCGACUUUCUGGUUUGUAACUGACGCUGAUGUGCGAAAGCGUGGGGAUCAAACAGGAUUAGAUACCCUGGUAGUCCACGCCGUAAACGAUGAGUGCUAAGUGUUAGGGGGUUUCCGCCCCUUAGUGCUGCAGCUAACGCAUUAAGCACUCCGCCUGGGGAGUACGACCGCAAGGUUGAAACUCAAAGGAAUUGACGGGGACCCGCACAAGCGGUGGAGCAUGUGGUUUAAUUCGAAGCAACGCGAAGAACCUUACCAAAUCUUGACAUCCUUUGACAACUCUAGAGAUAGAGCCUUCCCCUUCGGGGGACAAAGUGACAGGUGGUGCAUGGUUGUCGUCAGCUCGUGUCGUGAGAUGUUGGGUUAAGUCCCGCAACGAGCGCAACCCUUAAGCUUAGUUGCCAUCAUUAAGUUGGGCACUCUAAGUUGACUGCCGGUGACAAACCGGAGGAAGGUGGGGAUGACGUCAAAUCAUCAUGCCCCUUAUGAUUUGGGCUACACACGUGCUACAAUGGACAAUACAAAGGGCAGCGAAACCGCGAGGUCAAGCAAAUCCCAUAAAGUUGUUCUCAGUUCGGAUUGUAGUCUGCAACUCGACUACAUGAAGCUGGAAUCGCUAGUAAUCGUAGAUCAGCAUGCUACGGUGAAUACGUUCCCGGGUCU
Molecule: ribosomal RNA, 1372 nt
Filed under: uncultured bacterium
Lineage: Bacteria
Description: bacterial SSU rRNA
Rfam family: Bacterial small subunit ribosomal RNA
Source: RNAcentral